CAGCCGCCGCGGGAAAACGUAGGUGGCAAGCGUUGUCCGGAAUUAUUGGGCGUAAAGGGUGCGUAGGCGGUUUCGCAAGUCUUGUGUGAAAUCUAUGGGCUCAACCCAUAGUCUGCAUAGGAAACUGCGAGGCUUGAGGAUGGGAGAGGUGAGUGGAAUUUCCGGUGUAGCGGUGAAAUGCGUAGAUAUCGGAAGGAACACCUGUGGCGAAAGCGGCUCACUGGACCAUUUCUGACGCUGAUGCACGAAAGCUAGGGGAGCAAACAGGAUUAGAUACCCCUGUAGUCCCUGUCUCUUAUAC
Molecule: ribosomal RNA, 301 nt
Filed under: uncultured bacterium
Lineage: Bacteria
Description: partial 16S ribosomal RNA
Rfam family: Bacterial small subunit ribosomal RNA
Source: RNAcentral